UACAGAGGUCCCAAGCGUUGUUCGGAUUCACUGGGCGUAAAGGGUGCGUAGGCGGUCGGGUAAGUCUGAUGUGAAAUCUCUGAGCUCAACUCAGAAAUGGCAUUGGAUACUAUUCGGCUAGAGAGUCGGAGGGGGGACUGGAAUACUUGGUGUAGCAGUGAAAUGCGUAGAUAUCAAGUGGAACACCAGUGGCGAAGGCGAGUCCCUGGACGACUUCUGACGCUGAGGCCCGAAAGCUAGGGGAGCAAACAGG
Molecule: ribosomal RNA, 253 nt
Filed under: uncultured bacterium
Lineage: Bacteria
Description: partial 16S ribosomal RNA
Rfam family: Bacterial small subunit ribosomal RNA
Source: RNAcentral